Molecule: ribosomal RNA, 449 nt
Filed under: uncultured prokaryote
Description: bacterial SSU rRNA
Rfam family: Bacterial small subunit ribosomal RNA
Source: RNAcentral
UGGGGAAUUUUGCGCAAUGGGCGAAAGCCUGACGCAGCGACGCCGCGUGUACGAUGAAGGCCUUUGGGUCGUAAAGUACUGUCAACGGGGACGAACGCCUGAGAUUGAAUAGGUCUGAGGUCUGACGGUACCCGUGGAGGAAGCACCGGCUAACUCUGUGCCAGCAGCCGCGGUAAUACAGAGGGUGCAAACGUUGCUCGGAAUGACUGGGCGUAAAGCGCGCGCAGGUGGCCCGUUAAGUUGGCUGUGAAAUCCCCUGGCUCAACCAGGGAAGUGCAGUCGAUACUGGCGGGCUCGAGUCCCGGAGAGGGUGGUAGAAUUCCCAGUGUAGAGGUGAAAUGCGUAGAUAUCAGGAAGAACACCGGUGGCGAAAGCGCUCUGCUAGGCCGCAACUGACACUGAGGGACGAAAGCUAAGGGAGCGAAUGGGAUUAGAUACCCCCGUAGUCC